CUGUCUGGCCUGGUUGCAGCAGCCCUCAAUCCUCAGAACAGAUACGGUGCGGGCAGCAGCAGGGCAAGCUCCCACACGGUGCCCCAUCAAGGUGCACUCAUCUUCAGAUGGGGGACACCCUCUCCAGGAGGCAGAUCAGUCUCCAUGACCCACUCAGUCCUUGAUCUCU
Molecule: small RNA, 169 nt
Filed under: Chelonoidis abingdonii (Abingdon island giant tortoise)
Lineage: Eukaryota; Metazoa; Chordata; Testudines; Testudinidae
Description: TUC338 (ENSCABG00000022412.1)
Source: RNAcentral